AUACGGAGGGUGCAAGCGUUAUGCGGAAUCAUUGGGUUUAAAGGGUCCGUAGGCGGGCUAUUAAGUCAGAGGUGAAAUCCCACAGCUCAACUGUGGAACUGCCUUUGAUACUGAUAGUCUUGAGUUACAGUGAGGUAGAUAGAAUAUGUAGUGUAGCGGUGAAAUGCAUAGAUAUUACAUAGAAUACCGAUUGCGAAGGCAGUCUACUAACUGUAUACUGACGCUGAUGGACGAAAGCGUGGGGAGCGAACAGGAUUAGAAACCCUAGUAGUCC
Molecule: ribosomal RNA, 274 nt
Filed under: uncultured bacterium
Lineage: Bacteria
Description: partial 16S ribosomal RNA
Rfam family: Bacterial small subunit ribosomal RNA
Source: RNAcentral